This 465-nucleotide ribosomal RNA is filed under the name uncultured bacterium. RNAcentral's name for it is "partial 16S ribosomal RNA". It matches the Rfam family "Bacterial small subunit ribosomal RNA", at positions 28 to 507 of the family's 1533-position model. The record is from RNAcentral.
GACGAACGCUGGCGGCGUGCUUAACACAUGCAAGUCGAACGGAAAGGCCCUGCUUGCAGGGUACUCGAGUGGCGAACGGGUGAGUAACACGUGGGUGAUCUGCCCUGCACUUCGGGAUAAGCCUGGGAAACUGGGUCUAAUACCGGAUAGGAGCCAUUUUUAGUGUGAUGGUCGGAAAGUUUUUUCGGUGUAGGAUGAGCUCGCGGCCUAUCAGCUUGUUGGUGGGGUAAUGGCCUACCAAGGCGGCGACGGGUAGCCGGCCUGAGAGGGUGGACGGCCACAUUGGGACUGAGAUACGGCCCAGACUCCUACGGGAGGCAGCAGUGGGGAAUAUUGCACAAGGGGCGCAAGCCUGAUGCAGCGACGCCGCGUGGGGGAUGACGGCCUUCGGGUUGUAAACUCCUUUCGCUAGGGACGAAGCUUUUUGUGACGGUACCUAGAUAAGAAGCACCGGCUAACUACGUG